This 253-nucleotide ribosomal RNA is filed under the name uncultured bacterium. Its description in RNAcentral is "partial 16S ribosomal RNA". It matches the Rfam family "Bacterial small subunit ribosomal RNA", at positions 524 to 776 of the family's 1533-position model. The record is from RNAcentral.
UACGGAGGGUGCAAGCGUUAUUCGGAUUCACUGGGCUUAAAGGGUGCGUAGGCGGGCAGGUAAGUCAGUGGUGAAAUCUCCGGGCUUAACUCGGAAACUGCCAUUGAUACUAUCUUUCUUGAAUACCGUGGAGGUCAGCGGAAUAUGUCAUGUAGCGGUGAAAUGCUUAGAUAUGACAUAGAACACCAAUUGCGAAGGCAGCUGGCUACACGAAUAUUGACACUGAUGCACGAAAGCGUGGGGAUCAAACAGG